UACGUAGGGGGCUAGCGUUGUCCGGAUUUAUUGGGCGUAAAGAGCGUGUAGGCGGCUUGGCAAGUCUGCUGUGAAAACUCGAGGCUCAACCUCGAGCUGUCGGUGGAAACUGCUUGGCUAGAGUCCGGAAGAGGAGAGUGGAAUUCCUGGUGUAGCGGUGAAAUGCGCAGAUAUCAGGAAGAACACCUAUGGCGAAGGCAGCUCUCUGGGACGGAACUGACGCUGAGGAGCGAAAGCGUGGGGAGCGAACAGG
This 253-nucleotide ribosomal RNA is filed under the name uncultured bacterium. RNAcentral's name for it is "partial 16S ribosomal RNA". It matches the Rfam family "Bacterial small subunit ribosomal RNA", at positions 524 to 776 of the family's 1533-position model. The record is from RNAcentral.